This is a long non-coding RNA of Nylanderia fulva, 1791 nucleotides long. RefSeq lists it as uncharacterized. Lineage: Eukaryota; Metazoa; Arthropoda; Insecta; Hymenoptera; Formicidae. The record is from RefSeq and is a predicted model, not a curated record.
GUUCUCGGCAUUUGUUUUUCCGGAAAGCAGCAAUAUUCUCAUAUAUAGAAAGCAGAAUCUACUUCAACUAAUUGGCAAGAAUUAAACGGUCCGACAAAGUUCCACGCGCGAGCAAGAUCGAAGAAGAGAAGCGGGAGAAGGUAAGGAGCAAAAGAAGCAUCAAGGCAGACCCUCUCUCUCUCUCUCCGAGUACGGAGUUCUUAGAGGGAACGCGAUGUUCCUGGAACUCUUGCCAUCGUGGCCCUCUUCAGCCUCGGCUUCACGGUUCAGCUAACUUUCUGCCGGCUCUUAUUACGAACAGCUCGACGCUUUAUCAGACUCGCGUAUAUAGGAAAUAAUUUUGAAGGUGACUCAGACAGUCCGUCAGGAAAAAAGCGAGUUUUCCGAGCUUUCCCAUGUAAAAAGCACACUUGAAAAGUGCACGAGGAGCAAGUUUUGUGCGCGGUGUUCUGUCACAAGGAACCUGAUUCCCUACAACACGAGCGAGACAACUCGUUCGAGAAGGAAAAGAGACGCGAUGGAAGGAAGGAGCCAGGCCGCUCGUGGUGAGGCUGAACAGAGAGAAAAAGGAGGACGAACGAGAGAAGAAGACGGAAAGAAGGUGGAGGCCGAUGAGAGAGGACGGCAAGAUUGGCCUACGCAAGCGAGAAGCGAGACGGAACGAUAAAGGAGGCCGAGAGAAUAAUAAUAAAGAGACGAGGAGGGAAGAUAAUGUACGGCGCCGCUCUGGCGUCCAUUCAUGCUUUUUACUCGUUAGCGGUUAGCGCUCACGCGGACCGAACAACCUCGUAUCACCUUGUCUCACCUGCCCCCAACGAGCGACUCCACUCGCUCCUUUCUCCUUCUCUCGCCCAUUGAUCUCACCUGAUCUAGUUGACCCGCGAGGGAAUACGUGUGUACGCGUACUACGGGUAUAUGCAGCUCGAACCAGUCGUGAAAUUCUAUUCUGCCUUAUUCAUCUUUAUGGAGCAUGCAGUUGUUCGCCAGAUAGACGUUUAAGGCGGGAAAGGAUAAUGACUUAACUCGGAGAUCGGAUAAUUGAAAUUAUUAGGCAUGCAGUUGUUUGCCAGAUAGACGUUUAAGGCGGGAAAGGAUAAUGACUUAACUCGGAGAUCGGAUAAUUGAAAUUAUUAGAAUUUUGGGGUCCAUAGACGGUCCUCACAAAACUCCGAAGAAAUCUCGAGAUUCAGUUUGUCGUUCAAAGGACGAGACACAAAAAUUUCUUCAUCCAAUUUUAGUCUGCGAAAUAUGUCUAGGAAAAGUUCUCAGCGGGCGUUCUGGGAAACCCAAGAGGGAAUUCCAAAGGCAGCGAAGUAUUGUGGUAAAAAAUGAAACCACGAGCAUAGGACGAUGAAAAAGGAAGAUGGAGACGAAAAAAUAGAGUUAAAAGAAAAGGAAAUACCAGAAGAUUUCUUUUUCGACCUUUAGUAAUGUAUUACAAUAGCUGAUGCGCCUUAUUUAAAGAGGACUACUCUAGAACCUUUUUUUAUAAGGUCGGCAAAAAAAACCAAAGCUAUGUCGAGCAUCGGUAAUAUCUUCCUGUAAAUGUAUAUUUACUAUUCCCGAUGGAAUCGUUCGAUAUCACUUAUCAGUUAUCAGUGUGAAGGUAUAAUUCCCCGCUGAUAUCAUCUCGUAACAAUAUUGUCUUGCGAUCGACACCAACUCAUCUAUGUCAGUAUUACUAAACAUACAAUCGUAAUACGAGUAUAUAUCAGAGCAGCUUGAUGCGAAACUAAAUUUGUAGCUACAGAUGAAGAUACAUAUGCAGACAUAUUCAUAAAAAGAUCAUUA